CAGCGGGGCCCAUCCCGUAAGGCUAAAUACUCCCGAGAGACCGAUAGCGAACCAGUACCGUGAGGGAAAGGUGAAAAGAACCCCGAGCAGGGGAGUGAAAUAGACCCUGAACCCGUCUGCCUACAAGCGGUCGGAGCGUUGUUAUGACGUGACGGCGUGCCUUUUGCAUAAUGAACCUACGAGUUACCUUCCCCGGCAAGGUUAAGUACCUAAGGUACGGAGCCGAAGCGAAAGCGAGUCUGAAGAGGGCGGCCAGUCGGGGGGGGUAGACGCGAAACCGAGUGAUCUACCCUUGGCCAGGUUGAAGGUUGGGUAACACCAACUGGAGGACCGGAUGGGUAAGCGUUGAAAAGCUUUCCAAUGAGCUGAGGGUAGGGGUGAAAGGCUAAUCAAACUCGGAGAUAGCUCGUACUCCCCGAAAUGCAUUUAGGUGCAGCCUCUUUAUAGUAUAUCGUGAGGUAGAGCGACUGAUUGGAUGCGAGGGCUUCACCGCCUAUCAAGUCCAGAUAAACUCCGAAUGCGCGAUAUAUAUUUACAGGGAGUGAGGGCGCGGGUGCUAAGGUCCGUGUCCGAGAGGAGAAGAAUCCAGACCACCGGCUAAGGCCCCCAAAUGAUCGUUGAGUUGAACUAACGAGGUCGGAUCGCAGAGACAGCUAGGAUGUUGGCUUGGAAGCAGCCAUUCAUUUAAAGAGUGCGUAACAGCUCACUAGUCGAGCGAUCUGGCGUGGAUAAUAAUCGGGCAUAAACGAUCUGCCGAAGCCGUGGAUGUCGUAAGACAUGGUAGGGGAGCAUUCCAUGCGGCGUCGAAGAUGAGGGAUGACCCUUGUUGGAGCGCAUGGAAAAGCAAAUGUAGGUAUGAGUAACGAUAAGGGGGGCGAGAAACCCCCCCGCCGAAAGACCAAGGUUUCCUGAUCAACGCUAAUCGGAUCAGGGUGAGUCGGGACCUAAGGCAAAGCCGAACGGCGCCGCCGAUGGAAGAAUGGGUUAAUAUUCCCAUACUGCCUCAUGGAGUGACGUGGAGACGGAGAAGUGACAGUCCUGCCGGCUGACGGAAUAGCCGGUUGAAGGGUGUAGAUAUUGAUUCCCGUAGGCAAAUCCGCGGGGAGAGUCGAACCUGACAGUAUACCGAGUACUUGUACGAGGUAAUAUGGACGUAACCAUGCUCCCAAGAAAAUCCGCUAAACUUAUCCAUGCGGCACCCGUACCGUAAACGGACACACGUGGUCGGGUUGAGAAUACUGAGGCGCUCGAGUGACUCACGGUUAAGGAACUAGGCAAAUUGACCCUGUAACUUCGGGAUAAAGGGUCCUCGUCGUAAGGCGAGGCGCAGAGAAUAGGUCCAGGCAACUGUUUAACAAAAACACAUGGCUAUGCUAAAUGGAAACAUGACGUAUAUAGCCUGACACCUGCCCGGUGCUGGAAGGUUAAGAGGAGAUGUCAUCGCAAGAGAAGCGUUGAAUUGAAGCCCCAGUAAACGGCGGCCGUAACUAUAACGGUCCUAAGGUAGCGAAAUUCCUUGUCGGGUAAGUUCCGACCUGCACGAAUGGUGUAAUGAUCUGGACACUGUCUCAACCGUGAGCUCGGUGAAAUUGUAGUAUCGGUGAAGAUGCCGAUUACCCGCGAUGGGACGAAAAGACCCCGUGAACCUUUACUAUAGCUUUACAUUGAAUUUGGGCAGACGAUGUGUAGGAUAGGCCGGAGGCUUUGAAGGGGGUACGCCAGUAUCCUUGGAGCCGCCGUUGAAAUACGGCCCUUCGGUUGUUUGAGUUCUAACUCCUAGGCAGGAGGACACUGUAUGGUGGGUAGUUUGACUGGGGUGGUCGCCUCCAAAAGCGUAACGGAGGCUUCUAAAGGUGCCCUCAGACCGAUUGGUAACCGGUCGUAGAGUGUAAUGGCAUAAGGGCGCUUGACUGGGAGAGAUACAACUCGAUCAGGUAGGAAACUAGAGCAUAGUGAUCCGGUGGUUCCGCAUGGAAGGGCCAUCGCUCAAAGGAUAAAAGGUACUCCGGGGAUAACAGGCUGAUCCCUCCCAAGAGCUCAUAUCGACGGAGUGGUUUGGCACCUCGAUGUCGGCUCGUCACAUCCUGGGGCUGGAGAAGGUCCCAAGGGUUGGGCUGUUCGCCCAUUAAAGUGGCACGCGAGCUGGGUUCAGAACGUCGUGAGACAGUUCGGUCUCUAUCUAUCGUGGGCGCAGGAGAUUUGAGGGGCUCUGACACUAGUACGAGAGGACCGUGUUGGACGUACCACUGGUUUACCGGUUGUCCCGCCAGGGGCACCGCCGGGUAUCUAAGUACGGAUCGGAUAAGUGCUGAAAGCAUCUAAGUACGAAGCCGGCCUCAAGAUUAGAUCUCCCUCAAGGGUGGUUAUAGACGAUGACCUUGAUAGGCCACAGGUGUAAGGGCGGCGACGUCCGAGCCGAGUGGUACUAAUAGCCCGGGACUUUCCUCA
Molecule: ribosomal RNA, 2448 nt
Filed under: human gut metagenome
Description: bacterial LSU rRNA
Rfam family: Bacterial large subunit ribosomal RNA
Source: RNAcentral